This 506-nucleotide ribosomal RNA is filed under the name uncultured bacterium. RNAcentral's name for it is "partial 16S ribosomal RNA". It matches the Rfam family "Bacterial small subunit ribosomal RNA", at positions 899 to 1397 of the family's 1533-position model. The record is from RNAcentral.
ACUCAAAUGAAUUGACGGGGGCCCGCACAAGCGGUGGAGUAUGUGGCUUAAUUCGAUGCAACGCGAAGAACCUUACCUGGGCUUGACAUGCAUCUCUAACCCGGUGAAAACCGGCGAGCCCCGCAAGGGGCAAUUUGCACAGGUGCUGCAUGGCUGUCGUCAGCUCGUGUCGUGAGAUGUUGGGUUAAGUCCCGCAACGAGCGCAACCCUUAUGAUCUGUUGCUAACGGUCCGCAAGGAUCGUGCACUCUGAUCAGACCGCCCUGUGAAACGGGGAGGAAGGUGGGGAUGACGUCAAGUCAGCAUGGCCCUUACGUCCAGGGCUGCACACGUACUACAAUGCCCAGCACAGAACGAGCCGAAACCGCAAGGUGGGGGAAAUCCCAAAAGCUGGGCUCAAUUCGGAUCGCAGGCUGCAACUCGCCUGCGUGAAGCCGGAAUCGCUAGUAAUGGCGCAUCAGCUACGGCGCCGUGAAUACGUUCCCGGGCCUUGUACACACCGCCCGU